Molecule: ribosomal RNA, 980 nt
Filed under: Leuconostoc mesenteroides
Lineage: Bacteria; Bacillati; Bacillota; Bacilli; Lactobacillales; Lactobacillaceae
Description: bacterial SSU rRNA
Rfam family: Bacterial small subunit ribosomal RNA
Source: RNAcentral
GAUGAACGCUGGCGGCGUGCCUAAUACAUGCAAGUCGAACGCACAGCGAAAGGUGCUUGCACCUUUCAAGUGAGUGGCGAACGGGUGAGUAACACGUGGACAACCUGCCUCAAGGCUGGGGAUAACAUUUGGAAACAGAUGCUAAUACCGAAUGAAACUUAGUGUCGCAUGAUACGAAGUUAAAAGGCGCUUUGGCGUCACCUAGAGAUGGAUCCGCGGUGCAUUAGUUAGUUGGUGGGGUAAAGGCCUACCAAGACAAUGAUGCAUAGCCAAGUUGAGAGACUGAUCGGCCACAUUGGGACUGAGACACGGCCCAAACUCCUACGGGAGGCUGCAGUAGGGAAUCUUCCACAAUGGGCGAAAGCCUGAUGGAGCAACGCCGCGUGUGUGAUGAAGGCUUUCGGGUCGUAAAGCACUGUUGUAUGGGAAGAACAGCUAGAAUAGGGAAUGAUUUUAGUUUGACGGUACCAUACCAGAAAGGGACGGCUAAAUACGUGCCAGCAGCCGCGGUAAUACGUAUGUCCCGAGCGUUAUCCGGAUUUAUUGGGCGUAAAGCGAGCGCAGACGGUUGAUUAAGUCUGAUGUGAAAGCCCGGAGCUCAACUCCGGAAUGGCAUUGGAAACUGGUUAACUUGAGUGCAGUAGAGGUAAGUGGAACUCCAUGUGUAGCGGUGGAAUGCGUAGAUAUAUGGAAGAACACCAGUGGCGAAGGCGGCUUACUGGACUGUAACUGACGUUGAGGCUCGAAAGUGUGGGUAGCAAACAGGAUUAGAUACCCUGGUAGUCCACACCGUAAACGAUGAACACUAGGUGUUAGGAGGUUUCCGCCUCUUAGUGCCGAAGCUAACGCAUUAAGUGUUCCGCCUGGGGAGUACGACCGCAAGGUUGAAACUCAAAGGAAUUGACGGGGACCCGCACAAGCGGUGGAGCAUGUGGUUUAAUUCGAAGCAACGCGGAGAACCUUACCAGGUCUUGACAUCC